GACGAACGCUGGCGGCGUGCUUAACACAUGCAAGUCGAACGGAAAGGCCCUGCUUUUGUGGGGUGCUCGAGUGGCGAACGGGUGAGUAACACGUGAGUAACCUGCCCUUGACUUUGGGAUAACUUCAGGAAACUGGGGCUAAUACCGGAUAGGAGCUCCUGCUGCAUGGUGGGGGUUGGAAAGUUUCGGCGGUUGGGGAUGGACUCGCGGCUUAUCAGCUUGUUGGUGGGGUAGUGGCUUACCAAGGCUUUGACGGGUAGCCGGCCUGAGAGGGUGACCGGCCACAUUGGGACUGAGAUACGGCCCAGACUCCUACGGGAGGCAGCAGUGGAGAAUAUUGCACAAUGGGCGGAAGCCUGAUGCAGCAACGCCGCGUUCGGGAUGACGGCCUUCGGGUUGUAAACCGCUUUCGCCUGUGACGAAGCGUGAGUGACGGUAAUGGGUAAAGAAGCACCGGCUAACUACGUG
RNAcentral lists this ribosomal RNA (468 nucleotides) under uncultured bacterium. RNAcentral describes it as "partial 16S ribosomal RNA". It matches the Rfam family "Bacterial small subunit ribosomal RNA", at positions 28 to 507 of the family's 1533-position model. The record is from RNAcentral.